AUGAACGCUAGCUACAGGCUUAACACAUGCAAGUCGAGGGGCAGCAUGAAGUUUGCUUGCAAACUUGAUGGCGACCGGCGCACGGGUGAGUAACGCGUAUCCAACCUUCCCCGUAGUAGGGCACAGCCCGGCGAAAGUCGGAUUAAUUCCCUAUGCUCUUCACAGAUGACAUCAGAAGUGACGCAAAGAUUUAUCGCUAUGGGAUGGGGAUGCGUCUGAUUAGGUUGCAGGCGGGGUAACGGCCCACCUGGCCUACGAUCAGUAGGGGUUCUGAGAGGAAGGUCCCCCCACAUUGGAACUGAGACACGGUCCAAACUCCUACGGGAGGCAGCAGUGAGGAAUAUUGGUCAAUGGAGGCAACUCUGAACCAGCCAAGUAGCGUGCAGGAUGACGGCCCCCUAUGGGUUGUAAACUGCUUUUAUGAGGGGAUAACCUGCGCCACGUGUGGCGCACUGCAUGUACCUCAUGAAUAAGGACCGGCUAAUUCCGUGCCAGCCGCUGC
Molecule: ribosomal RNA, 502 nt
Filed under: uncultured bacterium
Lineage: Bacteria
Description: bacterial SSU rRNA
Rfam family: Bacterial small subunit ribosomal RNA
Source: RNAcentral